UAAGCGACUAAGCGUACACGGUGGAUGCCAUGGCAGUCAGAGGCGAUGAAGGACGUGCUAAUCUGCGAUAAGCGUCGGUAAGGUGAUAUGAACCGUUAUAACCGGCGAUUUCCGAAUGGGGAAACCCAGUGUGAGUCGUCACACUAUCAUUAACUGAAUCCAUAGGUUAAUGAGGCGAACCGGGGGAACUGAAACAUCUAAGUACCCCGAGGAAAAGAAAUCAACCGAGAUUCCCCCAGUAGCGGCGAGCGAACGGGGAGCAGCCCAGAGUCUGAAUCAGUGUGUGUGUUAGUGGAAGCGUCUGGAAAGGCGCGCGAUACAGGGUGACAGCCCCGUACACAAAAAUGCACAUGCUGUGAGCUCGAUGAGUAGGGCGGGACACGUGGUAUCCUGUCUGAAUAUGGGGGGACCAUCCUCCAAGGCUAAAUACUCCUGACUGACCGAUAGUGAACCAGUACCGUGAGGGAAAGGCGAAAAGAACCCCGGCGAGGGGAGUGAAAAAGAACCUGAAACCGUGUACGUACAAGCAGUGGGAGCCUCUUUUAUGGGGUGACUGCGUACCUUUUGUAUAAUGGGUCAGCGACUUAUAUUCUGUAGCAAGGUUAACCGAAUAGGGGAGCCGAAGGGAAACCGAGUCUUAACUGGGCGUUAAGUUGCAGGGUAUAGACCCGAAACCCGGUGAUCUAGCCAUGGGCAGGUUGAAGGUUGGGUAACACUAACUGGAGGACCGAACCGACUAAUGUUGAAAAAUUAGCGGAUGACUUGUGGCUGGGGGUGAAAGGCCAAUCAAACCGGGAGAUAGCUGGUUCUCCCCGAAAGCUAUUAGGUAGCGCCUCGUGAAUUCAUCUCCGGGGGUAGAGCACUGUUUCGGCAAGGGGGUCAUCCCGACUUACCAACCCGAUGCAAACUGCGAAUACCGGAGAAUGUUAUCACGGGAGACACGGCGGGUGCUAACGUCCGUCGUGAAGAGGGAAACAACCCAGACCGCCAGCUAAGGUCCCAAAGUCAUGGUUAAGUGGGAAACGAUGUGGGAAGGCCCAGACAGCCAGGAUGUUGGCUUAGAAGCAGCCAUCAUUUAAAGAAAGCGUAAUAGCUCACUGGUCGAGUCGGCCUGCGCGGAAGAUGUAACGGGGCUAAACCAUGCACCGAAGCUGCGGCAGCGACGCUUAUGCGUUGUUGGGUAGGGGAGCGUUCUGUAAGCCUGUGAAGGUGUGCUGUGAGGCAUGCUGGAGGUAUCAGAAGUGCGAAUGCUGACAUAAGUAACGAUAAAGCGGGUGAAAAGCCCGCUCGCCGGAAGACCAAGGGUUCCUGUCCAACGUUAAUCGGGGCAGGGUGAGUCGACCCCUAAGGCGAGGCCGAAAGGCGUAGUCGAUGGGAAACAGGUUAAUAUUCCUGUACUUGGUGUUACUGCGAAGGGGGGACGGAGAAGGCUAUGUUGGCCGGGCGACGGUUGUCCCGGUUUAAGCGUGUAGGCUGGUUUUCCAGGCAAAUCCGGAAAAUCAAGGCUGAGGCGUGAUGACGAGGCACUACGGUGCUGAAGCAACAAAUGCCCUGCUUCCAGGAAAAGCCUCUAAGCAUCAGGUAACAUCAAAUCGUACCCCAAACCGACACAGGUGGUCAGGUAGAGAAUACCAAGGCGCUUGAGAGAACUCGGGUGAAGGAACUAGGCAAAAUGGUGCCGUAACUUCGGGAGAAGGCACGCUGAUAUGUAGGUGAAGCGACUUGCUCGUGGAGCUGAAAUCAGUCGAAGAUACCAGCUGGCUGCAACUGUUUAUUAAAAACACAGCACUGUGCAAACACGAAAGUGGACGUAUACGGUGUGACGCCUGCCCGGUGCCGGAAGGUUAAUUGAUGGGGUCAGCGCAAGCGAAGCUCUUGAUCGAAGCCCCGGUAAACGGCGGCCGUAACUAUAACGGUCCUAAGGUAGCGAAAUUCCUUGUCGGGUAAGUUCCGACCUGCACGAAUGGCGUAAUGAUGGCCAGGCUGUCUCCACCCGAGACUCAGUGAAAUUGAACUCGCUGUGAAGAUGCAGUGUACCCGCGGCAAGACGGAAAGACCCCGUGAACCUUUACUAUAGCUUGACACUGAACAUUGAGCCUUGAUGUGUAGGAUAGGUGGGAGGCUUUGAAGUGUGGACGCCAGUCUGCAUGGAGCCGACCUUGAAAUACCACCCUUUAAUGUUUGAUGUUCUAACGUUGACCCCUAAUCGGGGUUGCGGACAGUGUCUGGUGGGUAGUUUGACUGGGGCGGUCUCCUCCUAAAGAGUAACGGAGGAGCACGAAGGUUGGCUAAUCCUGGUCGGACAUCAGGAGGUUAGUGCAAUGGCAUAAGCCAGCUUGACUGCGAGCGUGACGGCGCGAGCAGGUGCGAAAGCAGGUCAUAGUGAUCCGGUGGUUCUGAAUGGAAGGGCCAUCGCUCAACGGAUAAAAGGUACUCCGGGGAUAACAGGCUGAUACCGCCCAAGAGUUCAUAUCGACGGCGGUGUUUGGCACCUCGAUGUCGGCUCAUCACAUCCUGGGGCUGAAGUAGGUCCCAAGGGUAUGGCUGUUCGCCAUUUAAAGUGGUACGCGAGCUGGGUUUAGAACGUCGUGAGACAGUUCGGUCCCUAUCUGCCGUGGGCGCUGGAGAACUGAGGGGGGCUGCUCCUAGUACGAGAGGACCGGAGUGGACGCAUCACUGGUGUUCGGGUUGUCAUGCCAAUGGCACUGCCCGGUAGCUAAAUGCGGAAGAGAUAAGUGCUGAAAGCAUCUAAGCACGAAACUUGCCCCGAGAUGAGUUCUCCCUGACUCCUUGAGAGUCCUGAAGGAACGUUGAAGACGACGACGUUGAUAGGCCGGGUGUGUAAGCGCAGCGAUGCGUUGAGCUAACCGGUACUAAUGAACCGUGAGGCUUAACCU
RNAcentral lists this ribosomal RNA (2897 nucleotides) under Escherichia coli MP021017.1. RNAcentral's name for it is "bacterial LSU rRNA". It matches the Rfam family "Bacterial large subunit ribosomal RNA". Lineage: Bacteria; Pseudomonadati; Pseudomonadota; Gammaproteobacteria; Enterobacterales; Enterobacteriaceae. The record is from RNAcentral.